RNAcentral lists this ribosomal RNA (1010 nucleotides) under Acidobacteriota bacterium. Its description in RNAcentral is "bacterial SSU rRNA". It matches the Rfam family "Bacterial small subunit ribosomal RNA", at positions 8 to 1046 of the family's 1533-position model. The record is from RNAcentral. Lineage: Bacteria; Pseudomonadati; Acidobacteriota.
GAGAGUUUGAUCCCGGCUCAGAAUCAACGCUGGCGGCGCGCCUAACACAUGCAAGUCGCACGAGAAAGCGGGAGCAAUCUCGCAAGUACAGUGGCGUACGGGUGAGUAACACGUGGAUCAUCUGCCCUGGAGUGGGGAAUAACGCUGGGAAACCGGCGCUAAUACCGCAUAUUCCCGAGAGGGGAAAGCAGCAAUGCGCUCGAGGAGGAGUCCGCGGCCGAUUAGCUAGUUGGUAGGGUAAAGGCCUACCAAGGCUGUGAUCGGUAGCCGGCCUGAGAGGGCACACGGCCACACUGGCACUGAAACACGGGCCAGACUCCUACGGGAGGCAGCAGUGGGGAAUCUUGCACAAUGGGGGAAACCCUGAUGCAGCGACGCCGCGUGAGCGAUGAAGCCCUUCGGGGUGUAAAGCUCUUUCGGCAGGGAAGAUUAUGACGGUACCUGCAGAAGCAGCUGCGGCUAACUACGUGCCAGCAGCCGCGGUAAUACGUAGGCAGCAAGCGUUGUUCGGAGUUACUGGGCGUAAAGGGUGUGUAGGCGGCCUGUUAAGUUCCGUGUGAAAUCUCCCGGCUCAACCGGGAGGGUGCGCGGAAAACUGGCGGGCUAGAGUGCGGGAUGGGAGAGUAGAAUUCCUGGUGUAGCGGUGAAAUGCGUAGAUAUCAGGAGGAAUACCGGUGGUGUAGACGGCUCUCUGGACCGCAACUGACACUGAAACACGAAAGCGUGGGUAGCAAACAGGAUUAGAUACCCUGGUAGUCCACGCCCUAAACGAUGCAUAUUUGGUGUAGGUCAUUCAGUUGAUCUGUGCCGGAGCUAACGCGUUAAAUAUGCCGCCUGGGGAGUACAGUCGCAAGGCUGAAACUCAAAGGAAUUGACGGGGGCCCGCACAAGCGGUGGAGCAUGUGGUUCAAUUCGACGCAACGCGAAGAACCUUACCUGGGCUCGAACGGCUGGUCAACGAUCGUGGAAACACGGUUACUCCGCAAGGGGGUCCAGUCGAGGUGCUGCAU